RNAcentral lists this small RNA (536 nucleotides) under Histoplasma capsulatum. RNAcentral's name for it is "hypothetical RNA". RNAcentral also lists the same sequence under 1 other name. Lineage: Eukaryota; Fungi; Ascomycota; Eurotiomycetes; Onygenales; Ajellomycetaceae. The record is from RNAcentral.
AGAUGGGAUCAGGAAUUAAUUUUGGUCUGCCAACGCUCCGUUAAGGACAAUCUUAGUGGGGGGUGGCAAAGAAGAAAGAAAAAAAGAAAGGUUGUUUAUCGAAAUAAAAACCUCCUUUUCUUAUUUCGGCUUUCCAGAUGUCCUUGCAGUACCCCAGUACGGUUCUGCAUCGUUGGAAAAAAGAUGAAUUUCCCUUUUGAACAACAAGGAAAUAUAACAAUAACGCAAAUAGUAAUUGGGUUUCUUUAAAACGACGCGCAAAAUUUUGUGCACGAGGAUCCGGAGGGCGCAGAGGAAAGGGAUAUGAGCGGGAUUGAUGAAUUUGAUGAAUGGCGGCGGGCACGCAAAAGCGCUGAACCUGGUUAAGGGAUGCUUCGAUGGAAAAACAACCAAGUGAUGUGAUUGCGAUGGUGGUUAGGUCAACCAGUAACACAGUGUAGUACUGAGAUUCAAUUAUCCAUUUUUGCCUCAGCAAAGACAGCAGCAUGUUGCAGAUUGGAUUGGAAACAUGUUCUUGCGGCCAACAGAAAAGGAAA